UUGGAGGGCAAGUCUGGUGCCAGCAGCCGCGGUAAUUCCAGCUCCAAUAGCGUAUAUUAAAGUUGUUGCAGUUAAAAAGCUCGUAGUUGAAUUUCGGGAUUGACACAUCGGUCGUGCCUUAAGGGGUAUGAACUGGUGUAGUCAAUUUCUCACCUUCUGGAGAACCGCGAUGCCCUUAAUUGGGUGUCACGGAACCAGACCUAUC
RNAcentral lists this ribosomal RNA (205 nucleotides) under uncultured fungus. RNAcentral's name for it is "partial small subunit ribosomal RNA". It matches the Rfam family "Eukaryotic small subunit ribosomal RNA", at positions 548 to 752 of the family's 1831-position model. Lineage: Eukaryota; Fungi. The record is from RNAcentral.